Molecule: ribosomal RNA, 301 nt
Filed under: uncultured bacterium
Lineage: Bacteria
Description: partial 16S ribosomal RNA
Rfam family: Bacterial small subunit ribosomal RNA
Source: RNAcentral
CAGUCUCCGCGGUAAUACAGAGGGUGCGAGCGUUAAUAGGAUUUACUGGGCGUAAAGCGUGCGUAGGCGGCUUCUUAAGUCGGAUGUGAAAUCCCUGAGCUUAACUUAGGAAUUGCAUUCGAUACUGGGAAGCUAGAGUAUGGGAGAGGAUGGUAGAAUUCCAGGUGUAGCGGUGAAAUGCGUAGAGAUCUGGAGGAAUACCGAUGGCGAAGGCAGCCAUCUGGCCUAAUACUGACGCUGAGGUACGAAAGCAUGGGGAGCAAACAGGAUUAGAGACCCGUGUAGUCCCUGUCUCUUAUAC